This 427-nucleotide ribosomal RNA is filed under the name uncultured prokaryote. RNAcentral's name for it is "bacterial SSU rRNA". It matches the Rfam family "Bacterial small subunit ribosomal RNA", at positions 355 to 774 of the family's 1533-position model. The record is from RNAcentral.
UGGGGAAUUUUGGACAAUGGGCGCAAGCCUGAUCCAGCCAUGCCGCGUGAGUGAAGAAGGCCUUCGGGUUGUAAAGCUCUUUCGGUGGGGAAGAAAUGGUUUCGGUUAAUACCCGGAACUGAUGACGGUACCCGCAUAAGAAGCACCGGCUAACUACGUGCCAGCAGCCGCGGUAAUACGUAGGGUGCGAGCGUUAAUCGGAAUUACUGGGCGUAAAGCGUGCGCAGGCGGUUGGGUAAGUCAGAUGUGAAAUCCCCGGGCUCAACCUGGGAACUGCAUUUGAGACUGCACGGCUAGAGUGUGGCAGAGGGGGGUAGAAUUCCACGUGUAGCAGUGAAAUGCGUAGAGAUGUGGAGGAAUACCGAUGGCGAAGGCAGCCCCCUGGGCCAAUACUGACGCUCAUGCACGAAAGCGUGGGGAGCAAACA